This 603-nucleotide ribosomal RNA is filed under the name uncultured bacterium. RNAcentral's name for it is "bacterial SSU rRNA". It matches the Rfam family "Bacterial small subunit ribosomal RNA", at positions 63 to 666 of the family's 1533-position model. The record is from RNAcentral.
CGAACGAAGCACCUGAGAAUGAUUCUUCGGAUGAAGUCUCUUGUGACUGAGUGGCGGACGGGUGAGUAACGCGUGGGUAACCUGCCUCACACAGGGGGAUAACAGUUGGAAACGACCGCUAAUACCGCAUAACCCGCUGGUGCCGCAUGGCACUGACGGAAAAGAUUUAUCGGUGUGAGAUGGACCCGCGUCUGAUUAGCCAGUUGGCAGGGUAACGGCCUACCAAAGCGACGAUCAGUAGCCGGCCUGAGAGGGUGAACGGCCACAUUGGGACUGAGACACGGCCCAGACUCCUGCGGGAGGCAGCAGUGGGGAAUAUUGCACAAUGGGGGAAACCCUGAUGCAGCGACGCCGCGUGAGUGAAGAAGUAUUUCGGUAUGUAAAGCUCUAUCAGCAGGGAAGAAAAUGACGGUACCUGAUUAAGAAGCCCCGGCUAACUACGUGCCAGCAGCCGCGGUAAUACGUAGGGGGCAAGCGUUAUCCGGAUUUACUGGGUGUAAAGGGAGCGUAGACGGUGAUGCAAGUCAGAAGUGAAAGCCCCGGGCUCAACUCCGGGACUGCUUUUGAAACUGUGUGACUGGAGUGCAGGAGAAGUAAGCGGAA